This 98-nucleotide signal recognition particle RNA is filed under the name Leeia speluncae. RNAcentral describes it as "signal recognition particle sRNA small type". It matches the Rfam family "Bacterial small signal recognition particle RNA". From Rfam's summary of the family: The signal recognition particle (SRP) is a universally conserved ribonucleoprotein involved in the co-translational targeting of proteins to membranes. Lineage: Bacteria; Pseudomonadati; Pseudomonadota; Betaproteobacteria; Neisseriales; Leeiaceae. The record is from RNAcentral.
GGUGGGCCGCCCCGCAUUGCAAGAUUGGAACCUGGUCAGGUCCGGAAGGAAGCAGCCAUAACAGUUAACUGCAAGUGCCGGGGGAACGGCUCGCCACC